Non-coding RNA from Coffea arabica (coffee), 555 nucleotides. NCBI's taxonomy places the organism in Eukaryota, Viridiplantae, Streptophyta, Magnoliopsida, Gentianales, Rubiaceae. The record is from RefSeq and is a predicted model, not a curated record.
AGUCAUGCAUAAAGGUUGCCCUCGACUUUGUCUCACCUGAAAAUGUUGGUGAGUGUGUCCGUAUGACUGAAGAAUUCCGUGUACUUCCUCAGAACCACAGAGCAAAGGAAGACAAAUUGGAGGUCAAGAAAAUGACAUACUAUGCAAUGAAGGAAGCCAUCAUUGAUUUGGAGAAUAGGUGAAUUGACUUUGCGUAAUGGGUUAAAUUUGUUGAUGACUUCAGAUUAUCGCUUUGAAAGUUUCAGGUGUACACAAAAGUUUUUUGUUGAUGGAAGUUCCAUCAUGGAAGUGGAUCUCUACAUGGUUGUGCUCGUUCAGAGUUGAACGACAGUUUUGUUGGCUUGUGAAGAUAUCCUUUUGAAUCUACUGUGUACUUGUGACACUAGAUAUUGAUAUUGCUGAUGCUAGUGAUAGAAAUUGUAUCAUGGUAAUUAUGAUUUCUGACUAAAUUUCUUUAGUCAAAUUCUAUGUGGGUGAUAUAUUGGCGUAACUUGUUCAGAACUGGUUUUUCUGACUGCAAAUGGAAUGGGGAUAAAAUUAUUGCAAUCUGAGAUA